This 282-nucleotide unclassified non-coding RNA is filed under the name Hevea brasiliensis (rubber tree). The record is from RNAcentral. Lineage: Eukaryota; Viridiplantae; Streptophyta; Magnoliopsida; Malpighiales; Euphorbiaceae.
AGAGAGGUGCAAACAGGGGUGCAUCUUUUAAAGGAGAAGCAGGAAAUAGUUGAGAGUCAGCUGCAACUUACAAAGCUGCAAGUAUCUAAGGGAGGCCAGCAACAAUCAGAAACCCAAAACUCUGGGCACAUGGACACUGUGCAGCAAGCAGCAUCUGCCCCUCCACAAUCUCAUCAGCAGCUGCAACAAGCAGCAUCUGCCCCUCCACAGUCUCACCAACAGCUUCCUCCCAUCACUUUUCCGCAGUCCAUUCCUCCUGUUCCUGUUCCUCCUCCUGCUGUC